GUGCUCACUUCGGCAGCACAUACACUAAGAUACGAACGAUACAGAGAAGAUUAGCAUGGCCCCUGCGCAAGGAUGACGUGCAAAUUCAUGAAGCAUUCUAAAUUUUU
RNAcentral lists this small nuclear RNA (107 nucleotides) under Aotus nancymaae (Ma's night monkey). The record is from RNAcentral. Lineage: Eukaryota; Metazoa; Chordata; Mammalia; Primates; Aotidae.